Molecule: ribosomal RNA, 279 nt
Filed under: uncultured bacterium
Lineage: Bacteria
Description: partial 16S ribosomal RNA
Rfam family: Bacterial small subunit ribosomal RNA
Source: RNAcentral
UGCCAGCCGCCGCGGUAAUACGGAGGGUGCUACCGUCAUCCGGAAUCAUUGGGUUUAAAGGGUCCGCAGGCGGACUAAUAAGUCAGUGGUGAAAUCCCAUCGCUUAACGAUGGAACUGCCAUUGAAACUGUUAGUCUUGUAUUCGGUCGAAGUGGGCGGAAUGUGUCAUGUAGCGGUGAAAUGCAUAGAUAUGACACAGAAUACCGAUUGCGAAGGCAGAUCACUACAAAUUAAUUGACGCUAAGGGACGAAAGCGUGGGUAGCGAACAGGAUUAGAUA